CGCACCUCUUAGCAUGUUCCCUUCCGUCCAGCCGGCUCUAAUAGCAUCUAAAGGAGCCGCCGCCGACAUGUGAAAGAGGGAUGCGGCGAGAGAGGAAUCCGGCCUCAGCUUGGGGGACACGACGCACGAGACAGCACCCGCUAAGCGAGGGAAAUGACCGAAAAUGCACAUGCACGUGCCCGCGUAUGUCGAUGUGUUCCUCUGCGCACGCAGCCCUUCCAUGCUUCAGCCGUGCCGGCUAAUCCAAGCCCAUUCAUUCAAUCGGAUUGGGGGGACAUGAAACAAGAUAUUUAGACACAUAAGGUUCCUUACCGAUGUGAAUGAUGGAGUCCCCUCGAACUGAAUUGCAGUGCAAAAUCCAAAAGGAAAGGCAUACAAUUAGG
Molecule: long non-coding RNA, 383 nt
Organism: Paramormyrops kingsleyae
Lineage: Eukaryota; Metazoa; Chordata; Actinopteri; Osteoglossiformes; Mormyridae
Source: RefSeq, a predicted model, not a curated record